RNAcentral lists this non-coding RNA (24 nucleotides) under Cricetulus griseus (Chinese hamster). Lineage: Eukaryota; Metazoa; Chordata; Mammalia; Rodentia; Cricetidae. The record is from RNAcentral.
GCUUAGUGUUUCCACCAUUGUCUU